RNAcentral lists this ribosomal RNA (465 nucleotides) under uncultured bacterium. Its description in RNAcentral is "partial 16S ribosomal RNA". It matches the Rfam family "Bacterial small subunit ribosomal RNA", at positions 28 to 507 of the family's 1533-position model. The record is from RNAcentral.
GACGAACGCUGGCGGCGUGCUUAACACAUGCAAGUCGAACGGAAAGGCCCUGCUUGCAGGGUACUCGAGUGGCGAACGGGUGAGUAACACGUGGGUGAUCUGCCCUGCACUUCGGGAUAAGCCUGGGAAACUGGGUCUAAUACCGUAUAGGAGCCAUUUUUAGUGUGAUGGUUGGAAAGUUUUUUCGGUGUAGGAUGAGCUCGCGGCCUAUCAGCUUGUUGUUGGGGUAAUGGCCUACCAAGGCGGCGACGGGUAGCCGGCCUGAGAGGGUGGACGUCCACAUUGGGACUGAGAUAAGGCCCAGACUCCGACGGGAGGCAGCAGUGGGGAAUAUUGCACAAGGGGCGCAAGCCGGAUGCAGCGACGCCGCGGGGGGGAUGACGGCCUUCGGGUUGUAAACGCCUUUAGAUAGGGACGAAGCUUUUUGUGACGGUACCUAGAUAAGAAGCACCGGCUAACUACGUG